This 236-nucleotide long non-coding RNA is filed under the name Elaeis guineensis (African oil palm). RNAcentral describes it as "long non-coding RNA (EGUI_LNC042160)". Lineage: Eukaryota; Viridiplantae; Streptophyta; Magnoliopsida; Arecales; Arecaceae. The record is from RNAcentral.
GGUCAAACGUUGACCCAUGGACCUUGGAUUGAAGGCCACUUGGCAAGAGGUCAUUGGAGACUUUUAGUGGAGUGUCUACCUACUAAAUUAACCCUCAAUGUGGGUGCCAUAAUCAGAUAUGGCAUGCACCCCAAGUGGAUAAGGAUAUAGUCCCAUGAGAUGAGGACUCUGAUCCCUUGAUCAACUUGGACUGUGGGGUGCCAAUCUCACAGUGCUUAUCCAGUGUUGGCGCCAAC